AAGUCACAUGGAUGUCUGCUCACUCGUUAGUCACUUUCUCGAUGCUACGGUAGUGUAACUAAUUUUUUGACCUGCGGUGCUACAACUGCUCAUAAUGAGGCUACUGAAGUUUGACUACACAUAAAUAUUGACUCAAUGAGUCCUUGUAAUGGAUAUUGGUGACAGUUGGUCUACUAUAAGAGUAGGGUGUACACCUAGAUAAAAUCUAUCGAUCCUAGC
Molecule: long non-coding RNA, 219 nt
Filed under: Elaeis guineensis (African oil palm)
Lineage: Eukaryota; Viridiplantae; Streptophyta; Magnoliopsida; Arecales; Arecaceae
Description: long non-coding RNA (EGUI_LNC064016)
Source: RNAcentral